RNAcentral lists this ribosomal RNA (469 nucleotides) under uncultured bacterium. RNAcentral's name for it is "bacterial SSU rRNA". It matches the Rfam family "Bacterial small subunit ribosomal RNA", at positions 329 to 794 of the family's 1533-position model. The record is from RNAcentral.
AUCCAGACUCCUACGGGAGGCAGCAGUGAGGAAUAUUGGUCAAUGGGCGGGAGCCUGAACCAGCCAAGCCGCGUGAAGGAAGAAGGCGCCAAGCGUCGUAAACUUCUUUUGUCGGGGAACAAAGGGCGCCACGUGUGGCGUUGUGAGUGUACCCGAAGAAAAAGCAUCGGCUAACUCCGUGCCAGCAGCCGCGGUAAUACGGAGGAUGCGAGCGUUAUCCGGAUUUAUUGGGUUUAAAGGGUGCGUAGGCUGUGAGGUAAGUCAGCGGUGAAAUGCCCCCGCUCAACGGGGUGAAGUGCCAUUGAUACUGCCUUGCUGGAAUGCGGAUGCCGUGGGAGGAAUGUGUGGUGUAGCGGUGAAAUGCAUAGAUAUCACACAGAACACCGAUUGCGAAGGCAUCUCACGAAUCCGCGAUUGACGCUGAUGCACGAAAGCGUGGGUAUCAAACAGGAUUAGAUACCCGGGUAAG